RNAcentral lists this ribosomal RNA (253 nucleotides) under uncultured bacterium. RNAcentral's name for it is "partial 16S ribosomal RNA". It matches the Rfam family "Bacterial small subunit ribosomal RNA", at positions 524 to 776 of the family's 1533-position model. The record is from RNAcentral.
UACAGGGGGGGCAAGCGUUGUUCGGAAUUACUGGGCGUAAAGGGCUUGUAGGUGGCCAACUAAGUCACACGUGAAAUCCCCAGGCUUAACUGGGGAACUGCGUCCGAUACUGGAUGGCUUGAGUUUGGGAGAGGGAUGCGGAAUUCCAGGUGUAGCGGUGAAAUGCGUAGAUAUCUGGAGGAACACCGGUGGCGAAGGCGGCAUCCUGGACCAACACUGACACUGAGGAGCGAAAGCCAGGGGAGCAAACGGG